Ictalurus punctatus (channel catfish) is the source of this 2111-nucleotide long non-coding RNA. The record is from Ensembl. NCBI's taxonomy places the organism in Eukaryota, Metazoa, Chordata, Actinopteri, Siluriformes, Ictaluridae.
CUCUCCGUCUCUUUCUCACUGUCUCUCUCUCUGUCUCUCUUUCACUCUCUCACUGUCUGUCUCUCUUUCAGUGUCUCUCUGUCUCUCUUUCACUCUCUCACUGUCCCUCUCUCUUUCUCUCUUUCACUGUCUCUCUCUGUCUCUCUCUCUGUCUCUCUUUCACGGUCUCUCUCUCUCCGUCUCUCUCUCUCUCCCCUCUCCGUCUCUCCCUCUCUCCGUCUCUCUCUCUCUCUCUCUCUCGAAGUUAAUCUGUGAUACGGCGCUGUGGUAUAAACACUGUUAAGAGACGCUCUUUUCUUUCAAUGGAACAGAAGAACUCGUAAAGCAGAAGAGGCUCAGACCAAACACGGAGAAGGAAAACCUGCUUGGUGGAAAGUCUAGUCUUGUUCUGCGUUAGAGAGGUAACGCAACGUGACGCGUAUCCUCACACACAGCCGUUUUAGCUAUUCCACUGCAUCUACUUUAUUUCAUUCUUUCGCCAUUUCCCUUCGCUGACAACUAUGCAAACGUCUGUCUGUGGUCUCAGAGAUACCGAAACGCAGAAGUAUAAAUCAGGCCUCCGGAGAGUUCAUGUGGAAUUAUUCAACAUGUAAAGUAAAAACGGAUUGACGUAUUUAUCACACUUUAUCCUGGGAUUUGACCUCACGACCUUCUGAUCACUAACCGCCGGGCUGCUUUACUGCCACGUCACAAGUUCGGUGCAAAAGCAAAUCCCCAUGAACUCCUGCCAUGAAUUUUUAAAUUUUAGUCCAAGCCAAAAGCAGUGUAGUAUUAACCAUAGCACACUGAGACUUUAAUGAUUAUCACUCCCCAUAAGGCCAAACGUCUCGUCUUGAAUUGAGAUCUUGACCCCAUGAUGCUUUAAUAUCCAAUUAUUCAUCAUUAAAGCAGCAGCGAGUCUUGUCUGAGCAUUUUUAGCAUUUUAAAGUAAAAUAACUGAUUUUAUUCGGUUACUUUCUAAAUGGCACUAUUUGAUUUUUUUUUUUUUGUAAAAAGUUUAUAUCUGUGAUUGCCUUUCAUUAUUAUAAAUUUUUUUUUAUUCAAGAGAAAUCCCAUCCGCUGUUUUAAAUGGAAACUUUUGCUUGUUUUUUUUUUGUUUGUUUUUUUUGUAUUUUUUUAAAGAAAAUCUAAUGUCGUCCUGUCGUAUCGUGCACUUUCAUAAGUGGCUUUGUGUCUUGGUUUCCGUCCUUUUUUUUUUUUUGUGCUGUUGUUGCUGUGUAGUGUUUUCCAGGAAGCGGGUUUAGCCAUGAAUAUGAAAACUCUACUGGAAGAUACAGUAAUAAAAUUGUUUCUGUAUCACAGACUCAAGCGUCGUCUUUUAAUGUGCAGCACGUAGCUGAAGCUGUACUGCAGAGUGAUCUCGUACGUCUGCGGCUUCUCAAAACACCUUCAUAAAGAAGCAUCGACGGGACCACUGACUACAUUACACAGACACUACUUACACAAUCAGUACUAUACACAAACAUACUUACACAAUCAUUACAUACACAAUCAUUACUUACACAAACACUACUUACACAAACACUACAUACACAAUCAUUACUUACACAAACAUUACUUACACAAUCAUUACUUACACAACAUUACUUACACAAUCAGUACUUACACAAUCAUUACUUACACAAUCAUUACAUACACAAUCAUUACUUACACAAUCAUUACUUACACAAUCAUUACAUACACAUUACUUACACAAACACUACAUACACAAACACUACUUACACAAACACUACUUACACAAUCAUACUUACACAAACACUACUUACACAAUCAUUACAUACACAAUCAUUACUUACAGUAACACUACUUACACAAACACUACAUACAAACACUACUUACACAAUCAUUACAUACACAAACACUACUUACACAAUCAUUACUUACACAAUCAUUACUUACACAAUCAUUACAUACACAACACUACUUACACAAUCAUUACAUACACAAACACUACUUACACAAACACUACUUACACAGACACUACUUACACAAUCAUUACUUACACAAACAUUACUUACACAAACACUACUUACACAAUCAUUACUUACACAAACACUACUUACACAAUCAUUACAUACACAAACACUACUUACACAAACACUACUUACACA